Molecule: ribosomal RNA, 407 nt
Filed under: uncultured bacterium
Lineage: Bacteria
Description: partial 16S ribosomal RNA
Rfam family: Bacterial small subunit ribosomal RNA
Source: RNAcentral
AUUGAACGCUGGCGGCAGGCCUAACACAUGCAAGUCGAGCGGAGCGGCGGACGGGUGAGUAAUGCCUAGGAAUCUGCCUGGUAGUGGGGGAUAACGUCCGGAAACGGGCGCUAAUACCGCAUACUAUCAGAUGAGCCUAGGUCGGAUUAGCUAGUGGGUGGGGUAAAGGCGUACCCAGCCGACGAUCCGUAACUGGUCUGAGAGGAUGAUCAGGCACACGGGAAAGGAGACACGGUCCAGACUCCUACGGGAGGCAGCAGGGGGGAAUAUGGGACAAGGGGCGAAAGCCUGAUCCAGCCAUGCGGCGUGUGUGAAGAAGGUAUUCGGAGUGUAAAGCACUUUAAGUUGGAAGGCGUUACCAACAGAAUAAGCACCGGCUAACUGCGUGCCAGCAGCCGCGGUAAUAC